CCGCCUCUUUCUCUCUCUAUUCUUUUCCUUCACUGCUUCACACCGAAACCCUAGCCUCCGUGUUCCUUUGGCUUGAAGCUUCUACAUCUCAUUUUCUCUGAAAACAUACGCUUGUGCUUGAAUCGACUGAUAAGGGAGACACGCUUUGCCCUUUCCAAUUCCUGCUCUCAAACCCUACUGUCCGAAUACACAUCUUCCCCUUCACGUUUCCUGCCGAUCAAUCGAUUUAUCAAUCCUAUAAUAUACUAAUCUCAUCAAUGUUGAAAGCCAUCAUCAAUUUGGCGUAGAUGGGUAUUCAAGAAAAUAAAGGCAUAAGUGGGAGUUUGGGUUCGUUUCUUACUCGCAGAUGCUUUGGUUGUCUUAUGAGGGGCUACUUAGAAGGUGAGUAAUUAAUGGUUAUUUUGGAAACUUUGCACUAAUUUUCUUGCUAAAUGGUCAUGACGAUGUUGAUUUGUGAGGUUUUGGUGUGUGCUGCCUCCUUUAGAAGAAGAGGAUGUUCCUCAACUAUACCCAAAAGGGUCAAAUCUUGGUGAGUGAGCUUGAGAAACAGUUGAAAAUGGAGAUAAAAUCAAGAAACAGAGCCAGAGCCAGAGUCUAAAAGAUCUGUCUAAUGAGAAUAAGAGUUAGAAAGAAAGAUGGAGCUGGAGAUCUUUUAAAAAAGAAGAUGACAAUGGCUAGAUUUUAUGUAUUUUGGUUCCAGCGGAAUGAAAUGGUCAAGACCGGGUUCUCCGGGUUCGGAGGAACCCGACUUUGUAGUGGGGCUACUUCAACUUCAAAGAUGAAACAAGGGUUACUAAAUAAAGUUCAAUAAGCAAUCCCAAACACCCCUCUAAAAGCAUGAUUUUACUUUCAACAACUUAUAUCAUGAGUUAGUUACUGUCAUUCAAUGAAAUUUGUCACGGAUAUCUUAAGCUUGAAAAUACACUGUUGGAAGUGCAGCUCCUCGUGUUAAAAAUACUUAAAAUAUGUGAUUUUGGGUAUUCAAAGUCAUCAGUUAGGCGUUCCCAAUCAAAGUCAGCUGCAACUUACAUUGCACUUGAAGUUCUUUCAAGAAAAGAAUAUGAUGGAAAUGUGGCUCCUUUGAGCUUUUAGUUAUUUACUAGACAUGCAAUUUAAUGUUAUUUCUUAUUUGAAUUACCAUACUUGACUCAUCCUAACACACACCAUUGUUCUU
Molecule: long non-coding RNA, 1174 nt
Filed under: Helianthus annuus (common sunflower)
Lineage: Eukaryota; Viridiplantae; Streptophyta; Magnoliopsida; Asterales; Asteraceae
Description: sRNA HanXRQr2_Chr13g0594111
Source: RNAcentral